AGACUAUACUAGAGUUUGAUCCUGGCUCAGGAUGAACGCUGGCGGCGUGCCUAACACAUGCAAGCCGAGCGGCAGCGCGAGUAGUUUACUACUUGGCGGCGAGCGGCGGACGGCUGAGUAACGCGUGGGAACGUGCCCCAAAGUGAGGAAUAACCGCCCGAAAGGGUAGCUAAUGCCGCAUAUGAUCUUCGGAUUAAAGAAUUUAUUCGCUUUGGGAGCGGCCCGCGUACGAUUAGAUAGUUGGUGAGGUAAUGGCUCACCAAGUCUACGAUCGUUAACCGGUUUGAGAGGAUGAUCAGUCAGACUGGAACUGAGACACGGUCCAGACUCCUACGGGAGGCAACAGUGAGGAAUCUUCCACAAUGGGCGAAAGCCUGAUGGAGCAACGCCGCGUGCAGGAUGAAGGCCUUCGGGUCGUAAACUGCUUUUAUAAGUGAAGAAUAUGACGGUAACUUAUGAAUAAGGAUCGGCUAACUACGUGCCAGCCGCCGCGGUAAU
RNAcentral lists this ribosomal RNA (498 nucleotides) under uncultured Candidatus Saccharibacteria bacterium. RNAcentral's name for it is "bacterial SSU rRNA". It matches the Rfam family "Bacterial small subunit ribosomal RNA", at positions 1 to 524 of the family's 1533-position model. The record is from RNAcentral. Lineage: Bacteria; Candidatus Saccharimonadota.